GACCAUCUGUGUGCUGCUUUUACCAAGCCGUACCUGUUUUCUGAAUUCCUUUUUAACAACAUGAAAUUUUCAUUUAUUGUUUUGUAACUGUUUCACACAAAUAGUUCUGUUUCUCCUUUUAGAGAGUCAGUAUUUGAUGCAGAGCCUUUAGCGUAUUUUAUUUUUCACAGUCCUCCUCCCCACCCCUGCCAAGUAUCACACUCCCAUAAAAAAAGUGUUAGGUUUAAAUAGUACUACCUCUAAUUUACUUUUACCAUUGUUUUAAACCUUUUGGUUUCACUGUUGUUUAUAUCCUUUUUUUAUAGCUCAUAUCAGCGGCCACAUGGCUCUCUCCAUUUGGAUGAUGGUGAAUACUGGUCCAGGGCAGCCUCUUACAAUAAGGGAAAAUCCCACCGACCCGUCUUUGAGAACAGCAUGGACAAGAUGUACAGGAACUUAUACAAAAAGGCCUGUAGUUCUGUUUCUCAUACACAGGAAAGCUUCUGAGACCAUCCAUGAUAAACUGUGUGAAUGUCCGUGUCAACCUCUCAAUGAAAUCGUUUGAUGUGAUCGAUAUCUGUAUUCAUUUUUUUUAAAAACAGGUGGUUCAUUGAGUAAAAUAGUUAACACUGAAUCAAGUUUAUUACUUCAAAUGGUGCAUUUUCAUAAACAAGCCUUUUUUAUUGCAGGAGAUUGUGCUGUUUCAGAUGUCAGAGCUAUGCCACACAAUCACAACUUCAAUCUCUGAGAGCAUGCUUCUCACAUAUAUCUCAUAUCAACAUCUGCAAAUUGAACAGUUUCUCUCUAGAAAUGUUCUUCUGCCCUAAUCACCUUGUAUUUUUCUUUUAUUUUUAAUUAAUAUUAACUUAGAAAUGAACAGAAAGAUAUACUAUAUAAAAUGAAUUUCCCAAGAAUUUAAACCCUGUUUUAACUGAUAGUUUUUACUUUUCUUCUAGGUAUAUUUCUUAGCUCAUAAGAAAUAGCUUUUUUAAUAUUCAUUUUUUAUUUGUUCUUUUUAGUUAUACAUGACAGUAGAAAGCUUAUAUAAUCAUUUUCUUCCUCUUUUCUUUAGUUCUUCUUUAGAAGAACUACUUUAUAAGAUACCUAAAAUGUGUAAGAUUAGACAUAGCAGCGGCCAUGUAUAAACCGUGAAUAACUAAUUUUUAAGAUAGAAUGCUUUGCACAAUUUUCUUCAAGGGCCAUGCCUUUUGAUGCAAGUAGAAUCAGAAAAUAGCCUAUAUCAUCAAGUAUGUAGAAACUCAGUAAAAAUAGGGACUUGUAAUUUAAACUCUUUGGCAUUUUGAAGCAGCCUCACUUUAUUGGACACUUGGAACCAUAGGGAAAUAAAAUAAUAUGGCAGAGUGCUUUUUAGUUAGGCACUCAAAAUUUUAUUGGUUGAAUAAUAAAAUGAGCUCCUCGUUUCCCAUCCAACACAUAACCUAUGAAUCCAGUGACACUUUGAAGAUAUGAAACAAAAGUCAGUUGCCAAAUUCACCAGAGAGUGAAUGAAGGGAAAGCAAAGUGUUUGAAAUAAGUAAAAUUUAUUUACAAGCUUGAAGAGUUGACUACAAGAUAUUUUCUCAUUGACUAUCAUUGGUUAAGUCCACAGUUGUGAUUUAAAGAGAAAAAGAAAUGACUUGCAGUCUACUGAAAUUAAAAUUAAAAUGGGAAAUUGGAUAACUUUGUGUUAGGAAACAAUAUACAUGUGUUAUCUAAUAAUAGAACUUUUAACUUCAGGUUAAGAAUGUUUUAGUAUAGCAAUCUGUGAUAUAUAGAAAAGGGCAUGGCAAUAUGAGCUGGAGUCCUAGGCUUUCUCCCAUCCCUGCCAUUUUCUAGUUGAAUCUCUUUAAUUCUCUAGUCCUUAGUUUCCUCAGCUGUCAAAUAAAGGGAAUGGUAUGGCUGUUAAACCAUGUUCUGUGGACCCAGACCAUGGUUCUAAGAGAUGUUUAUAGGAAUGUAGAUAUAAUUUUUUAUUGGUCAUGUAAGUUUCAUGAAAGUUGGUUUGACACACACAUGUGGGUGCAUGUGUAUGUGUCUUAUUGAGUCCUACGUAGAAUGGCAGGAAUGAAAAUGGAUGCUAUUAAUGUGUGGGGGCAGCACUUAUAAACUGGGGCUGUUAGCCAAGUUAGGUCCUAGGGUCUCCAUAAUCAUACUGAAAACUACCAUGUGGGAGACUUUAAGAAAUUCUGGAUAAACCUUUUACAGUAUCUAGUAGAAAGUCUGACCCAUAAUUGAUGCUUCUUAAAUAUUUAUUGAAUUAACCUAGAAUUUCCUAACCUAAAUUGAGCAUAUAACAAUGUUGUUACAGCCACUACUCCCUGUUUCCCCAACUCCCCAUUGCUCCACCCCAAGUGCUCUUAUCUGGUACAUUAUCUGGUACAUCAUCCAACUGAUGAAAUGCUAACACUACACAAAUACUGAGUUACCCUCUGGCUGUAGGUUAAAUAAUGUUUUGUACAACAAGCUUUUGAAUUUUAGCAUUGAAUAAUGAAUGCUCUUUUUAGAAAGGCAUAUCCUCAGUGGAAAUUAGUGUUUUUUUGGGAAAAGAUGAAAAAUUCUUCUGUUUUAAAAGUUGCUGUUUAAUGAAAAUAACAAAUUUGUAUAUCAAAGACAAUAUUAUAUACUAUCACAGAAAAUCUUCUGAAUAAGUAACAUGAAAAUUACUUAUUGUGCCUAUGUCUGCUAUUAGCUAAGAGCCACAAAAAGUAGAACUCAAAGAAAAUUUAGAAACUGAUGACCAUCUUCCUAUGGAUUAAAUUUGGCAUAUCUAUAAAGAAUGGGAGCAUAUUCUUAGAUAUACAGCAUCUUUGCUGCAUCUGAUUAUUUUCCAUUUCCUAAUGGAAGGAUUGGUCUUUGUUGUUCUAUUACUCUCACUUAUUGUGUAUUGUAGUGUUUUUAAAUAGUAAAACCUUCAAGUACUAAUAUAGUUGUAUUUUCUCAUUCAUAGAAGCAAAAGGUACAAUUGUUUAUUCCUAUCCUUUAUUUCCCAUAAAUGUGAUAAUAAUCAUUGGGCUUACUAUGAAAUAAGUAAGAUUGUUUUCUUCCUUUUAUAUAUUUUCUUCUUUAAAUAGAAAGGGAAUUUUAGGAAAGAAAAUGUUUAAUUUAGCCAAGAAAUGACGACAUACCAUUGGGAGAAUCUUCCCUGGUUCUACUACUAGUUAUGGUACUCUAAAAUCAUUUAUCCUUCUUGAAACUCAGUUUUGUCACAUAUAAAGCAUUGAAAUGAUUAAUUUAAAAUAAUAAUUUUAGCAGUCUAACAUUUAUAUAAUUGUACAAUUGAUUAAUGUGUAUGAUCAGGAAGUCCUAGGCAGUGUAGUUGUGAUUUGAUUUCAAAGAUUAAGCUCCUGAUUAAAAACUAGGAGCAAGUAGAGAAUCAUUGUGUUUACUUGCUAAUAAUAGCUUUAUUAAGAUAUAAUUAGCUCUCAAAGUACAUAAUUAAGUAGUUUUUGCUAUUUUCACAGAAUUAUGCAAACAUAACUACUAGCUAAUUACAAAAUAUCAUCCCCCCCAAAAAAAAAUCCUUUAACAAUUUGCAAUUACUUUCCAAUAUCCUGUCCCCUCAACUCUUGGAAAACACUAAUCUGCUUUCUGUCUCUCUACCUAUUAUGGACAUUUCCUAUAAAUGGAAGCAUAUAAUAUGUGACCUAUUGUGUCUACAUUCUUUCACUUAGGAUGUUUUCAGGGUUCAUAAAAAUAUAACAUGUUUCAUUAUUUAAUUUAUUUUUAUUAGUAAAUAAUUCAUUGUAUGAAUGUACCAUGUUUUGUUUAUCUAUUCAGUUGAUAAGACAUUUGGGGAAUUUUCACUUUGGGCUCAUUAUGAAAUUUGCUAUGAAUAUUAUAUUCAAUUUUUUUUUCCAGGAAAAUGCCAGUUUAUUGAAUAUAUUACACACAUUGUCAUUUUUGUUCCUUGUGAUGACACUGAAUGUGUUAGUACAUGUGCUCUGAUGAGGAAACUAAAAGCCAGAGGCAAGCUCAUGAGUGGCUAAGCCAGGACUUGCAUCCAGAUCUUCUGGACCCAAAGCUCAUGCUGAUUAGAUGACCUGGUGAUGGGAAGAGGGAAAUAAGGGUGGUUUCCCCAAAAGUAUAACCAGAAAGUGUCAUUAGCUUUAUCAUAACACCUCCUAUGACCCAAAUUUGAUUCUUUUUUUUUUAAUUUUUUUAUUGUUGGCUGUUCAAAACAUUACAUAGUUCUUGAUAUAUCAUAUUUCACACUUUGAUUCAAGUGGGUUAUGAGCUCCCAUUUUUACCCCAUAUACAGAUUGCAGAAUCACAUCAGUUACACAUCCAUUGAUUUACAUAUUGCCAUACUAGUGUCUGUUGUGUUCUGCUGCCUUUCCUAUCCUCAAUUUUUGUGUGGACAUAUUGUUUCAUUUCUUGUGAGUACAUACCUAGAAGUUGAAUUUCUGUGUCAUAUGGACUUAUGACAUUCCAAGGUGGCCUACCUUUAAGAGGACCCCAGUAGCCUUUGACUCAGAGGACCUCAAAAGCCUUCUCUUGGAUCAUCCAUGGCUUUUGUUUAUGACAGCCUGUGGUUUUUGCCUUCAUGGAUCCAGGUGCCUGAGCUACUACCUACCCCAAUAGGAGAUGCUUCAGCCAGUGUCACUGUGGACAUACUGACACUGGUUUCCAGUACAGUUACUGCAUAUAACUGGCCCUGACCCCAUUACCCAUACCAAUUUUAACUACCUUGUAUGCCUGUGACAAGUUCUUGUUACUGAAGGCAUGCACUCAGUUGGCCCUGGCUUUUGCCAUAGUAUAUACAAGCACUGCUGGUUUGUAUCACUGUAUGCUUGCCUUCUUCCAGCCCUCAACAGCAUAUGUACUUGCUAUUGAUACAUUGCUGGUUUGUACCACUAUACAUGUUCCAGCUCAUAGCCACCUUUCACUGCUCCACUACUGGCUCUAGCUUUUGCAAACAUAUGUACUCACAUCAUCAUCUCUGGCCUUUCCCUAUGUGGGUGCACUCAUCAUUGGCCUCAAAAGCCCCAAGGACCCCCAACAACCCCUGUGGAUACCAUAGAACCCUACAGUAUUCACUGCUGAGGACCACACUGGUGGUCAGUGUUUUAGACCUCAGCUGCCUGAGCUAUUGUGCCACUUAUCCUACCCUCCUGCAGAUCUGAAGUUGUGGUGGCAUGCCCCUUCAUUUGGUUCUACAUGUACCACUAGUCCCAGUGCCAUGGCAUGUUCAUGCUCCUCCAAAGAUAGUCUGUUAAAUUUGAUUUCUCCAAAUUGAUGACUCCAAUGCAAGAGUACAGGGAAACAUGAAUCCAUCAAAAGUAUACAUUUUAACUUAAGUAUACAUUUUAACUUACCUUAAACAAAUGGAAGAAAGUGAAACAUGAAUUACCUGACAAAAAUUCAAAAUAAUUAUUUUAAUGAAGCUCAGUAAGAUAACAAGAUAACACAGACUAACAAAAACAGGAAAACAAACCAUGAACAAAAUGUUGAGACGCCCAACAAAGAGAAUAAAAUACAACAAAUUCUCAAGCUGAAGAAUACAAUGAACUAAAAAAUGCACUAGAGAGCUUCAAGAUCAGACUUAAACAGAAGAACUAUUGAAUUCAAAAAUAGAUUAUUUAGUUGGAGGGAAAAAUUAAAAGUAUAUAGUAUUAAUGGGACAGUGCAAAUAACCAAUACAUGCAUUAUAAAAGGUUAAAAAGGAGAUAUAAAGGGGCAGCAGGCUUUUAAAGAAAUAACUGAAACUUUUCAAACCUUGGAAGUAGACAUCCAGACUCAAGAGAAAUAGAAGACAAGACAUCCAGAAGAGUCCAAAAUGAUUGAAUAAAAAGAUGUUUACAAUGAAAUGCAUUACAAUUAAACUGCCAAAAUACAAUGGACCUUUGUAAAAACUACCAGUGGAUUUCUUAACAAACCUCGGAAGCCAGGAUUCAUAUGAUUAAAGCAGUGAAAUAACUGAAAAGAAGUGUAUCUUGAAAAGCUAUCCUUUAAAAAUGAAUGGGUGAUAAAAUCUUUCCCAGACCAAAACGGAGGGUGUUUGUCCUACCUGCUUAAGGGAGUUCUUCAAGGAAAAUAUAAAGAAUGCUAAAUAGCAACUUGAUAGAAUAUGAAAAUAUAAAUCCCACAGAUAAAAUCAAAUAUAGAGUGAAAUAGGAGCUAAUUUAACACUGUAAUGGUGGUGUGCUAAUAAUCUUUAAUCCUAAUAUAAAGGUUAAAAAACAAGUAUUGAGGGGCUGGGGAUAUAGCUCAGUUGGUAGAGUGCUUGCCUCACAUUCACAAGGCCCUGGAUUCAAUCCCCAGUACCCUUACUCCCCCCCAAAAAAGAAAUUGUGUGUGUGUGUAGACUAACUGUAAUGACAAAAAUUCAGUAAACAGUUCACUAUACAAAAAAGCAAACUCUGAUUUCAAAAACAUGAAGUAUAUGUAGAAGAAGCUAAAAUUGUUUUGUUUGUAAUUGAACAUAAGUUGUUAGCAAAUUAAAAUAGAUGGCUACAUACCAGAAGUUUCAUACAAUAAACCACAAAGGAAAAAAGUAUAGAUAUACAAAAGAUAGAGAAGGUAAUCAAACCAAAUCACUAUGAAAAAUAAGGAAGACAGGAAUAUAGGAAUAAAAUAGUUGCAAAUCAGAGAACAGGUUAAUAAAAUGGCAGUAGCAAGUUUUUAUUUACCAGUCAUUAACAGUAAGUGUAAAUGGAUGAAACUUCCCAAUAAAAAGACAUAUAAUAAACAGAUAAAAAAACCAAAACCUAGCUGUAUUCUGUCUGCAAGAGAUAUUUUGGGUAUGAAAGCUGAAAGUGAAGGAUGAAAGAUUUUCCAUCCAAGGGCUUACCAAAGACAACAGGAGCAGCUAUACCUUUAUCAGACAAAAUGGACUUUAAGUCAAAAACUAUAGAGACAAUAUUAUUGUAUAAUGAAAGAUUCAAGUCAAUGGAAAAAUAUAACAAUUAUAAAUCUAUCUGCAUCCAACAUUAGAGCACCCUAAAGUAUAAGAAAAUUGACAACAAAAUGAUAAUACUAGGAGGCCUAAAACACCUAGUUUAAAGUUGCUUUUCUGAAACAAUAAAUUGUCAAACCCUUAGAAUAACUAAGAAAAAAUAACUUUCAGAUAAAAUUAGGAGACAUUACAAUGGAUGACAGAGAAAUAAAAGAUAUCAUAGUCUAUUAUACAUUAUAUACCAAAAAAUUUAGUAACCUAUGUAAAAAGGAUAAAUUCAACCACUCAGAAAAUAAAAGAGUUUCAAGACUGAAUCAGGAAGAAAUAACUUGACCAAUUACAAGAAAUUCAAUUCUCCUUGAAUUUCAACCAAGCCCACCAUCCAAUGGCUUCAUGGGUGAAUUGUUUCACAUAUGCAAGGAAAAUUAACACUAUUUCAAAACAUAUGAAAGCUAAACACUCAAACUCAUUUUGUGAUACCAGCAUCACCCUGAUUCCAAAACCAAAAACACUACAAGAAACCUUAAAUCUCUGAUGAGCAAAUAUACAGAAACAUUUGGUAAAAUACUAGAAAAUUAGUUUAGUAACACAUUAAAAAGAUCAUAUGUCAGAAUAAAAUGGUAUUUAAGGAUAAAUACCAUUUGAUUCUGACAUGAUCUCUGUAUCCUUGGGAUACAGAGAUAGUUCAAUAUACAAAAAUAACUGUGAUAUAUAAAGAAUGAAAUACAAACCAAAUGUUCAUCCUAAUAGAUGCUGAAAGGCUUUGUCAAAAUUCAAUAUCCUUUCAUGAUAAGGAAUUUAAUGAAAUACCCAUAGCUAGCAUUUAUAUUACUCCAACUUCUGUUAUUGUAAAAAAAUACAUGAUAUAAUCAACUUUAAAAGAACACAGGUUUAUUUUAGCUCACGAUUUUGGAGGUUCCAGCUCAUGAUUGGCUCACUGCUUUGGGGUUUGGACAUACAUUAUGGUGGGAAGUGUGCAGUGGGGCAAAGAUGUUUACUUUGUGGCUCAGUUGUGAAAAAGAGACCAGAAUAUCAGUCUUUUUCAAGAGUAUGAUCCCAAUGACCUAAACUCUUUCACUAGAUCCCACCUAUUAAAGUUUCCACCACCACCCAAAAAGCACCAUUCUGGGGAACAAACCUUUAAACACAUGGGCCUUUGAGGGACUUAAGGUCCAAACUAUAAUUUAUGGGAAAAAAAUUGAAAAUGUUUCUUCUGUGGUCUGGGGCAUAGCAAGAGGCCCCCUUCACUGUGGUUCAACAUAUUAUUGGAAGUUUUAGUCUGAAUAAUUAGGCAAAAUUUUAAAGGGCACCCAAAUUAUAAAGGAGAUGCAAAAGUAUCUCUGCAGAUGACACUAUCAUAUUUAUUAAAACCCUAAAGAUCUACACAAAAUCUGAUAAAAUUAAUAAAUUCAAUUAAGCUUCAGGAUACAAAAUCAUCACAUAAAACUCAGUAUCAUUUACAGUCACUAACAUUGAACUAUCUGAAAGAAAAAAUAAAACAAUACCAUGUAAGUUAGUUUUUAAAAAAAGGCUCUGGGAUUAACCAAAGAAGUGAAAAAUUGUACAUGGAAAUUUUGACACAUUGAUGAAAUUUUAAAAGACUAAUGUUGGAAGGAUAUACCAUGUUUAUGGACUAGGAACUUUUUUUUUUUUUUUUUUUUGGUACCAAGGAUUGAACUCAUAGGCACUUAACCACUGAGCCACAUCCCCAGCCCUUUUUUAUAUUUUAUUUUGAGACAGGGUCUCACUGAGUUGCUUAGGGACUUGCUAAGUUGCUGAGGCUGGCUUUGAACUUAGGAUCCUCCUGUACCAGCCAAACCACUGGGAUUACAGGCAUGUGCCACUGAGCCUGUCCGUGUUCAUGGAUUGGAAUACAGUACUGUUAAAUGCCUAUACUACCCAAAGUCAUCUCCAUAUGCAGUUUUUAUUAAAAUCCCACUGGCUUUUUUUAUUUUUACAAAGCUGGAGAAAACAGUCUAUUCAUUUGGAACAUAAAAGUCCUUAAAUAGGCAAAGUCAUUUUGAACAAGAAUAAAGCUGGAGAUAUUAGUCUUUCUGACUUCAAAUUAUACUAAAAAAUCUGUAGUAAAUCACUGUGGCACUGACCAAAAAAAAACACAGAUAUAAACAAAUAGAGGAAGGAGGCCAAAAGUAAAACCUUGCAUAUGUAGUCAAGUAAUCUUUGGCAAGGGUGUCAAUAAUGCAAAAUGUGGAAUAAUCUCUUUUAAAAAUGAUGUGCUAACUGGCCAUUACCCAAAAGACAAAAGAUACAAAGUGUUGUUGAUGCAGAGAAAAGGGAACCUCUGUACACUGUUUGUGAGAAUAUACAUAAUCACUGUGGAAAUCAGUUUGAAAUUUUUCUCAGGAAAUGAAGGAUAAAAUUACCAUAUGACCCAACAAUCCCUCUUCAAGAGUUAUAGCCAAAGAAUUGAAAUCGGGGUCACCAAGAGAUAUCUGCACUCCUAUUUUUUCUUAUAGCAUUAUUAAAAAUAGCCAUAAUAUGGAAUCAACUUUUAUAUCUAUCAACAGAUGCAUGAAUAAAGAAAAUUGUGUAUGUACAAUGGAAUACUACCCUGAAUAUUGAUGGUAGGACAGGCAUACUAGUCACCAUUUAAAAUAGAAGGAAGUCUUGCCAUUUGUUAUGUGGAUGAAGCUGGAAGACACUGUGUGAAGCAAAUUCAGCAAAACAGAAAAAAAAUCCUACAUGAUCUGACUUAUAUGGGAAUCCAAAACAAACUCAUAGGAGGAGGGGAGAGGAUGAUGGUGGUUGAGAGCCAUUAGAGUACAUAAGGAAAUGAGGUGAUGUUGGUCAAGGGGUAUAAAGUUUCCACUGUGUACUGGACCUAAUAGGUUUCUGAACUCAAGAUUCAAGGAGCUUACCCUGAAUAUUGAUGGUAGGACAGACAAGUUAAAAAAAACUGUUAAUAUAUAUGAAUUGACUCAGUUUUGCAUAUUCUGUGUAAGCUCUUGUGUUAUAGGUGCAUUUCUUCAUCUUUGUAUCACCAGCACCAUAAGUUAGGCAUAUCUUUAUUAUAGCACUUAACAAACCAAAUUAUCAGUGACUCCCUUAACUCUUCCUGCUGGUCAGUGAUGUCACACGUCAUUUAUCUCUGUAUCCUAUGGCUCAUGGGAGAUGUUCAAUAUUUGUUGAAUGACUGCAUUAAAAAAUUCAUGAUGGGCCAUUAAAAGCAAUGCAAAGUCUAACUCUGUCCAGAUAUAAGAAUUGAGAUGUCCUGACUGAUAACCCUUUACUAUCAGCAAGUGCUUGCAGCCAUGAGACAGAAGAAAUGGAAAAGAUAGUAGAAAAAACAUGGUUUGUCCCAUGGUGCUCAAGAAGAAAGCCAUAGUUCCUCAAUUCAAUUAGUUAAUGAUUCUGUAGCAUAGUUUUUCAAAAGUAUAUUCUUGAAUUAUUUUUUAAAAAGUAUAAUGGCUUGCUUUUUUGUCUGUCUUUCUAACCAAGAUUCACAGAGCUUAUUAUAUGAGUAGGACCACCUCCUAAACUGCUACUGCAAGAGAUGAUAAGUAUAGUGUUAGGCAAUAGAUCAAGGAAGAAAUUACGUACAGUUGUUCUGGGCACCUUAUAUUGCAAUGGAAUUUAAAUCCCUUCUAUGAAAUGCAAAUUUUUUAGUUCCCAAGAAGACCCUUAAAAAUCAUUUUUCCCAAAUGUCUUAUCUUUUGUAAUUCACAAAGCAGUUCAUUUUUGACUGAAGGAUUGUAUCUUCUAGCGCUCAUACAUAACCGUCCUAGAACUUGUGCUUAUCUCUCUUAAUUCAUAAAAGGUAUAAUGUGAAUAUUGAAGUAAAAUAGUCUCAAUGAAAUGCAAUCUUUUAUAUAUCUUAAAUUUUAGUAUAUUGCAUUCAAGCUGGGUUAAAUAAUGUACAUGAGCCUGAUGGAAGAGAAUGUAUUCUGCUUGGAUUUGUAUAGUGUUUGAAUGUUUUCAGGUUUGUGGGGGAGUGAGAAAGUGCUUUUUUUUGUUUUAAUCCCCAUGCCUCUUCAGUAUAUAUUUUUGAAGUUCUUAAACCAAGGGAAUUAGACUAAUAUUCAUUCAAGGCUGUAAUCUGUACUUGGUGAUUUGUAUACCUUAUCUGACUUGAUUUUCACAACAUGUCUAUGACCCAGGGAAGUUAUGUGAAAUUUCAGUUUUACAGAUGAGGAAACUCCUCAGCUUUAAACUACUGUAAUUGGUCAGUGGUAAAUAACAGCUAGUAAAUGGUAAUGUUGGACUUGAAUCUAAAUACAACUCUGCCUCUAUAAUAGGUAAGCAGUUUAAAAAAACUCCACUUGUUAUAGUUCUUGUUUCAAAAUGGUGGAGCUGAUACCUCUUCAGAAAGAAGCUAAGUGGAUUCAAAUGAAAACUUAAUGCAUUAAAAUGUAAGGACAUUGCCUGAAGAUGUAUUUUAACUGAUCCAAGAUCUCAUAGAGACCAUAGUUAAUGUAUAGGAUAGCUCCACAUACAGGACUUUGGAUAUGGUUCCUUUAGAUAUCCUUCCUUUGGGUAUGUUUCCCCAGCCAUGUUCUUUAGUUGAGCAAUGACAGAGUCAAGCCUCAUUACAUUUCUGUUAAAGUAAAAGUUUAAAGAAAUUUCUGUGUUUAUGAUAUAGUUCAGAAAGAAGAUAUUAGAAAAACCCUUAGUGAAAAACAAUGUCUUGGAACAUAUAUAAUUGAAUUGAAAACAAGUGCAUCCUGGUAGUGAUUUCUGCUUAUCAAUGAAGGUAAUUAAUUCUUCACUAAUUUACUUGAGUUUUUUGUUGUUUUUUUAAGUGUAAUUAGUGAGUUUUGCAAACAAAGAGUGGAGGAAAUUUAUGCAUGUACGGUUUUUCAACUAAUAUAUUCAUAUUUCCAUUACCUGGGAUUGAAAACAAUGUUGCAUAGUAGGAAAAAGUACUUCCAACUUUUUUGGACUUCAUUUUUGUCUGUUUAUGAAAUAGGAUAUUAAUAACUAUUGCCCUUCAUUCUUCAGAGAAGUAAUAGGAUUAAAUGGCCAUCUUUGACCAUUCCCAGACAUAUAAUCAUAAUACCUUGCUUUUAUGAAUGAUCUGGGAAACUGAAGUCUGCAGCUUAGAGUGUUCCAUACUGCCUAGAAGCAAAACUAUGGACUCUAGAGCUGAACAGAAUCACUGUUACCUUUUCUGUCACCUCUAUGUUAAAGUGAACUUUUGUGAAGAUGUUUCUCAGUUGUAAGAAUAAAAGCCAUUUCAUAUAGUUGUCCGAUCCUUUGAAGAGUCAGUAUGUGUGGAGCAUGUGGUGCGAUGCAUGAGGCUCAGUAAAGGGUGACUGCAACUACUGAGAGUCUAAGUCAGUGGAGAGAGCAUUUUGGAAGAUCUUAAGGAUCUGAGUAGAGGAAAAUAGUGGAGAUGAGCUAUGUGAAUAAAUAUGGAGAAAUAUUUACAAAUUUUUAAAGAUAUAAGACCAAAUUAUUCAGUGUUUUGUAUGAUCUAUAAGUUUUCUAGUUAAUUUAUGUAGGCUGUAUGAUUUAGCAUAAAGGACAGUUUACACCUGGGUUUGAAUUUUGUACUGUGGUGAAAUCAGAAAUCUUGAACCUUAAUUUUAUUACUUAUAAAUAGGGAUAAUAUCCACCAAGGCUGGGUACUUUAAAGACUAUAUGAGGUAGUAAAUGCAAAGUGACUAGUAUUGUAUCUAACAAACAGUAGAUGCCUAAAAAUUAUUAGUUCCUUUUUCCUCUCAAUAGUUUCAUUGUUUUGCACUCAAAUCCACACAGGCAUAGAUAAUUCCUCCACCAUCAUUAUUUCUUUUUUAAAAAAGAAACAUGUACCUUGACAAUUGAAACUAAACAUGAAUUCAGUUUCUGA
Molecule: long non-coding RNA, 12683 nt
Filed under: Marmota monax (woodchuck)
Lineage: Eukaryota; Metazoa; Chordata; Mammalia; Rodentia; Sciuridae
Rfam family: tRNA (bases 6176-6248)
Source: RNAcentral